GAUGAACGCUGACAGAAUGCUUAACACAUGCAAGUCGAUUCAACUUACCUUCGGGUAUUGAGGAUGGCGGACGGGUGAGUAACGCGUAAGGAACUUGCCUCUUGGUCUGGGACAACUGUUGGAAACGACAGCUAAUACCGGAUAUUAUGAGAUUCUCGCAUGGGAAACUUAUGAAAGCUAUAUGCGCCAAGAGAGAGCCUUGCGUUCCAUUAGCUAGUUGGUGGGGUAACGGCCCACCAAGGCGACGAUGGAUAGCCGGCCUGAGAGGGUGAACGGCCACAAGGGGACUGAGACACGGCCCUUACUCCUACGGGAGGCAGCAGUGGGGAAUAUUGGACAAUGGGCCACAAGCCUGAUCCAGCAAUUCUGUGUGCACGAUGAAGGUCUUCGGAUUGUAAAGUGCUUUCAGUUGGGAAGAAGAAAGUGACGGUACCAACAGAAGAAGCGACGGCUAAAUACGUGCCAGCAGCCGCGGUAAUACGUAUGUCGCAAGCGUUAUCCGGAUUUAUUGGGCGUAAAGCGCGUCUAGGCGGAAAAAUAAGUCUGAUGUUAAAAUGCGGGGCUCAACUCCGUAUUGCGUUGGAAACUGUUUUUCUAGAGUACUGGAGAGGUGGGCGGAACUACAAGUGUAGAGGUGAAAUUCGUAGAUAUUUGUAGGAAUGCCGAUGGAGAAGUCAGCUCACUGGACAGANACUGACGCUAAAGCGCGAAAGC
This 714-nucleotide ribosomal RNA is filed under the name uncultured prokaryote. RNAcentral's name for it is "bacterial SSU rRNA". It matches the Rfam family "Bacterial small subunit ribosomal RNA", at positions 28 to 760 of the family's 1533-position model. The record is from RNAcentral.